This is a non-coding RNA of Phrynosoma platyrhinos (Desert horned lizard), 72 nucleotides long. The record is from the annotation of a GenBank genome assembly. NCBI's taxonomy places the organism in Eukaryota, Metazoa, Chordata, Lepidosauria, Squamata, Phrynosomatidae.
GUUAGUGUGGCAUAGUGGUUUGGAUGUUGGGCUAUGACUCUGGAGAUCAGGGUUCAAUUCCCAGCUCAGCCA